GUGCGCCAUUCAGCACCACAUAUACUAACUUUGAGAUAAUCCAGUGAAGAUUCCCAUGGUCCCUAAAUAAGGAAGACUUGCAAAUUUGUGAAAUAUUCUAUAUUUUU
Small nuclear RNA from Octodon degus (degu), 107 nucleotides. The record is from Ensembl. Lineage: Eukaryota; Metazoa; Chordata; Mammalia; Rodentia; Octodontidae.